Long non-coding RNA from Bombus huntii, 6462 nucleotides. RefSeq lists it as uncharacterized. NCBI's taxonomy places the organism in Eukaryota, Metazoa, Arthropoda, Insecta, Hymenoptera, Apidae. The transcript has 2 exons. The record is from RefSeq and is a predicted model, not a curated record.
ACAUUCUAACAAGUCUGAGACUUAACACACAAAAAUGUUUUCGAAAUAUUGUACCAAUGAUAGGUGCUAAACUCUAAACUUCGAUUAUUAUUAUUCAUACUAUAACGGGUCUUCCAUGCUACAAAUUGAUAUCGUAACGUGUAACGAUGUAACGAAGCGAGUUCGUUUAUCGCUAAUCUGAUUUCACGCGGUCGAGAUGCUGAUGAGAAAAUCGCACAAUUUCGCCGAACUGAAUUACAAAACGUGUUACGCGCCAUCCAAAAGUCGACUACCUGAUAAUUGCAUUCGUAACAGCGGUCUAUAAUUUUCCCUAGAUUCUAAGAAAGUAUAUACAGGGUGUCUGGUCUUGAUCUAUUAUUCUAAAAAUCUCAAAAAGUAUUUGUACAUCAUAUGAAAGGGAAUAUUUUUAGAAGAAUUACAGGAGACCGGAAAGAAGAGAUAAGAGGUGCUUAUAUUGUUCAAUGGAGGCGUUAAGAUCAGGGCUAAAAGUUUGCAAGCGGUGGUUGAGAGACAACAGCAGUUCUGGUUGGUGCGGCGUCGAGAAAUGGGGUGGAAACAGACUCCCAGUAGAUUUAUUCGAAGGGUGCGUAGAGACCAUUGGAUUGACACGCGGCGACGUCUUGACAGCUUGUUAGGCUAACGGUUGCGUGCUGUUCAUCGAACACGCUUGAGCCUCUUUACUGCUCUUUACCUUGACAUUUCACUUCUGAUCAAGCGUUAUACCAUUGUCUGCUCCUUGUUUCCUGGUUGCAUCACCAUUCUCGAGAUCUAAAGUAGUUGUAAUCGUAAUUACAGCUAUCGAUCAAUAUUUUUGUCUAAAUAUUUUAAUGCCUACAUUAAAGCUAAGUAUAUGAUACGACAACCAAUUGGUCUCAAUAAAUAUAAACGCACAAAGAUCAUUUUUGAACAUAAAUUGUGUUACAAAGUAUGAUACAUGAAUACAUUUCGAUAUUCUUCGACUUUCAGAUGACUUGUGACGAUUUUUACAACUAUGGGAUCGUGUAUUUUCAAGUCCUCGAUCUCUGCAUGAUCUAUUGCGAAUUCCAUGUCCUUGGAAUCAUGAACUUCGAGAUCUGUUGGCAUAAAUCAAUUAAUUUUCUACCUUUAAACUAACGAACGAUAUAUUUCACUUUUAUUUUAAUUAAGUAGUUGAUUAAUCAAAUUCUAACAGCUACGUAUUUAAAAAAUAUUUAUCCAACUAGAAUAACUUUACAGGAGAAAAAAAGAAUGAAAAUACCCACAGCAUAAUAUCUGUUGAAAUCUGGAGAGCCGGAGGAAGGAUCAGGAUCGACGAGAGGAUAUUCGUGGUGCAGGGAACAGCAUUACUGUCCACGUGCCGUUUAACUUGAUCACCCUGGCCAAUCUGGCCUCAUUUCAACCUCCAGUUACUACGGCACUUCCGCUAACAAAUAAUAUUGUUGACGACCCUGCGGGGGCGUUCUGAUUCGAUUUGCUACACUAUAAAAGCGUGCUGCUGGGGAGAGCCAGUAACAGAACGGGGAAAGCUUCGCGACGACUGACGAAGAUGAAUAAAAAGGAAACGAAAGAUUCGAGGAGAAUGAAAGAAACAGCACAGAGAGGGGGCUGAAAAAUUGUAUAUUACUGAUAUUUCACUAAAGCACGUUUUUUGAAUAAUAAGAUAUUGAUCUUAAAGUGAUCUUGGUGCAAGGAAAAAUAAAACAUUUUCAAUAAAAUAGAAAUAAGAGUGAACGCAAUAUUUAUAUUCUAAUAACUAAAGAAUGAAAACGAACAUAAAAUUCAUGUUUUACAGACAAGUUUAGUAAGUAAGAGGUAUCUUCAUCAAAGUUUUCAAUUGCAAAUAAUAUGAUAUGAUCUUAAAAAAAUCUUAUCAAUAUAAAAAUAUAUGUAGAAGCGAAAUGAAAAUUUUAUUCAUUGCAAUUGAACGAUUUAUACUAAGAACCUCUUAGUAUUAGUUUGUACUAAGAAUUGGUUGAUAUUAGGUUAAGUGAACUGUUGUACCAGUUGAAUCCGUAAGUGGACUCCUAUGUAUACGAAUUUCAGUUAUAUAAAAUAUAAAAUAUAUAUUUAUACCGCAACAACUUUACGUAAACAGAGUUCUACUAUAUUACAAAAUAACAAUAAUCAAAUACUUUGUUUACGAUGGAUCGCAAAUAUUGUAAUCAAAUCGUAAAAUCGUUCCUUAUGCCACCAGUUUCACUCUCUUAUCAAUCUCACUUGUCCAAGUAUUAAAAUAUAUCCAGAAAAAUCUAAGAAAACUCAACAGGAAUCAUUUUCAUAUAAAAUCCUUUAAUUAUCUAUUCAUUUGUCAUAAUUAAUUAUUGUAACAGACUUUUAACGAUACAUACGUGCGGACAGGGAACACAAGUGGGCAGAGUGGCACGGGUAAAUUCUCGUCUGGAAGAGAGGAAGGAAAAAAAUAAUUAUCAACGUGAUACAGACGACAACGUGCUGGAAAGCAUGGCUACGGUCUAAUUAGUCCGGUUAUUUAGUUAGGCAACGGAGAUGCGAGAAGUUUACUCGGCCGUUCGGUGCUAGAGCCACUAAAGAUUCGUAUCUCCAGGACGUGUUUAAAAAUAAUUACCAUGGAAGAUUCAGCGAUAGUCACGGAGUCGUCCUCACCUUUGUGCUUCCUGCCCUAUGAAGUGGGCCCUCGUUGUUACGGCAUAAAGGCAGCCCAGCCAACCCCUUCAGUACGUCCUCGCGUCUCUUCCGGCACCGCUCGAGUGCCUCCUCACCUUUCAACCACUCUAUCACCGCGUUUAAAGAAGUAAAGACCAAAGGUUCUUUACCGUUUUAAGAGGUUAGACCGCUUCGAAAAGGAGUUUAUUCGACGAUGACAAUGUGACAAGGUGUGCUACGGGGAUAUGCCUUAUUAAAUUGACGGAUACACUACACACUGCUCGUAUCACGAAACGAAUAUCGGGUAGACGUUCAAUAGAUUCGAGAAUCGACCGUGAAGGAUACGAUAAAGAACUAAAGACUAAAGAACUCUUGUAAGUUUAAAGUGGAUCACGAAGAACAAUCGGCGGAAUGAGAGAUCACGAGUUCGCUAAUUUGGCGCGAUUUUUGAUAGUGGUCAACAAUCGGCGCAGUCGUCCUGCCAUCUACAUAAAUCCGCGUUAAUUAAUUCUAUUCAAUGUAUAUAGAUACCGCUACCGCUUAGAAAUGCCUAAACGGUUGUUUAUCUUUCACAAGAUGAAUUUUAAUUAUAGAAUUACGUAUAAAUUUAAUUCCAAUGAUUUUGUACUUUACAAUCGCCAUAGCUACAUACGAUAGAACAUUACGAAGCAGUUAAGAAGUAGUAAAGUGAUGUUUAAAAAGACAAAGUAUUUUUGUAAAUGGAAUACUUUCAUGAUUUUUAAUUCGAGGGGAAGCAUUAGAGACAGGUGAAAAUAUACGAGCGACGUGAUUUCUCCGAUAUUUAUAGUAUUUAUAUUUGUUUACAUAUAAUUUUCCAUAUAUUAUAAUUAUAAUUGUAGUAGGCAAAAACAGUAGUAUCGUUUAAUAACAGAACAGUCGUACGACAAGAAUACUAACUAAAACGUUGUGAAAGAAGAAGUUGAAGGGAAAUAGAGAAGAAGGAUAGGGUGAGAGGGAAUAAAAAUGGUUUUCAAGGUUAACGAACGGUGGGUCUUCGACGCUCAAAAACAAGAUUGCUGUUAGCCCUUAUUUCCUUCUCUUGCGACUACGAGGGAUUAGUCUUUUGCGUCGUUUCUCACAGGAAAUAUUAAAUUUCUAGUAGGCGCGUGUAUCUUUUUCUCUCUUUCAUUCUCAGAAUCCUACGACUAUAAUAAUUAUUAUAUCCUGUAUAACCGCGAAAAUCUCAAAUUAUUAAAAAUAUACACCCUACGGAUGUAUCAUUAUUGCGCAUUAUAUUGUGCAGAAGUAUACUCGUAAAUAGAUGUAUUCUCGAGCUUUUCAUUCUCUUUUUUUUUUUCAUUUACUUUAGGCAUUAUUUUAAAUAUCGCUAACUAGGCCUUUCCUAUUAUAUUUGGUACCCAGGGAAGCAGCUAUUAAAGUUCGCUUUAAAUAUUUCACUUUUUUUUUUAAAUAUAUCUCUAAACAGUUUUCGUCUUAUUUUCAUCAUUGGGUCAAGCUACUUGUGCAUGCAUAUCUUUUACGGAUUUUACGAGCUCACGACUCUUUCCUUUUCUUCUUUUUUUUCCUUUUUUUUUUAAAUCAAUUAAAACUAAAUAACGAUUACCGAUAAAACAGAGAGGAUCAAGCACUGACCAUCCGAGUUCUAGUAAUUAUUGACAAUUAUCCGUUAAUAUUUAUCUUUAAUAAAUGGUCAAGUGGUAAUGCUGCAUUUUCAAGUAAUCAACUGUUAAUAAACUGAAGUAUCGUAAAUAUCCAAAAAUUGAAAAGUUGAAAAUUCGGAAUUUGUACAGCCCUCCGAAUGAUCAAUGCCCGUUUACAAAUUCAUUUAAAUUCAAUGAGAAACACAAUGGAAAACUAUAACGAACGAUACUACUGGAACAAUCUGCAAUUUCUUGUAAAUGCAAAUUGUUACAGUCUUUUUCGACACGCACUAUAGAAACGUUUAUACUUCGUAUAGCUUUUUUUUCCUUUUUUUUAAUAGUUCGUGAACGCUUUAACAAGUUUGAUCACGCGAGUCACGUGUACAUCGAACAGGAGAAAUGCUAGCAAAAAAGAGUGAUUCGACGAGGAAUAUAAUCAACUGUUUCCACUAUUAUCACCGCUACUCGAUCGCUAACUUUUUAUCGUUCGAAUAAUUCGAGACUCGUCCCUCGAACGCAUCCUAUCGACGCAACAUUCUCUCGUCGAUAAUUUCCUUUCACUCUUAUCAUAGCCGUUAUUAUCGUAACAUCUAUCAAAAAAAGAAAAUCCUUCGUCCUCUCGGAAGUUAUUAAAUUUCCUCCUUAUAAAGUAUUAAUCUUUCUUCCUUCCUUUUUCUCGCGUUUUUCUUCUUUUUUUCUUUUUCUUUUCUUUUUUUUCAUAAACAUUCGAAUACAAAUUGUAACUAAUAUGGUUUAAGUAUUCUCGAAGGUUUCGAGUAAAAGUAUGUGUGCUUGGUCGUCGCUCGGUUUGCAAUUUGGUUUGCGAAAAACCGUUUUCAUACUACUUGUUGUAUCAUCGUAGCAUAAAAAAAUACGCAAAAUAUCGGGACUAUCCUGGAACACGCACACCAGCAAUGUUAACAUUAAUUCGAUUAAAAAAGGUUUCAUCGUUAUUCGUACGCAAACUUUGCUAGCGGCUCUCUUUUUUUUUUCUUUUUUCUUUCUUUCUUCUCUCGUUUUGAGCAUCUUCAGGAUCACAAAUUGAGAACAGGAUGAUUCUCUGAGCUACGUAUGUUAAGUGGUUUGAUUCGGGCAGAGAUCGAAAUGUACAGUGUUAAAAUGACGGUCUAUAGACUUGGUACUAAUUCAUUGGUUCGCGAUGGCGAUGUCAGAUGAAAUAUAAAUGCUGUCACAGAAGAUGAUUCUUCCGGUGUUUCGGUUAUUCUCGUUGCUGGGAGAAGAGAGAACCAAGAUCGCGGGUUCAGGGGGAAAGAUUAAACGAUCCUCGCACGUUUGCUCUUCCGGUCUACAGAACGAAUAUUCUCCAGCCUGUUGAUAGAUCUUGGUGUACUCACGAGUAAAUUAUAGCAGUAAUAAGUAGAUAAAAAUCGCUGAUCGAAGAUAAAUGCGAGCAUUGAGAUUCUGAAUAAUUCGUAAUAGAAGUAGAUCGUCGUUUACACUGGAACAAUAAUUCCUUGAAAAUGUAAAAAUUAUAGUACGAAAGAAAAACGGGAAAAAAUAAAUAUAAAAAAAUUAUUCUCGUUGAAACUCUCUAUCGAUAAACGAAUUAUAUAAUAUCCUAUGGUAAUCGUGAAAUAAAAUUGUUUAUCUUUAACGAAACAGUCGGUCCUGCAUUAAUCUUCACUUCAAGCUAGUCUCUUCUUUACGUCGACGAUCGAACUAAAGAAUGUAUAAAUUAAUAUAUUACAUGUCGACUAAAUAAUAAUAAUAAUAAUAUUAAUAAUAAUAAUAAUAAUAAUAAUAAUAAUAAUAAUAAUAAAGCAUAUACAAAGGAGAUGCUAUAUAGAAGCCAUGGACCAGUCCACGACAAAAAAGAGAGAAAAUAUAUGAACGCGUAUAUCGAAUACUUAAUUUAAUACGAUGGUUCUUUAAUUGUUUGUAUAUAUAUAUAUGUAUAUAAAAGAAAAAUUUUUCUUCUCCGGUAAAGUACAAACAACAAAUUCAUCAAAUGUACCAGAGCUUCUAACGUAAAAUUGAACACGAAUAUCAACGAGUAUUCUAAUUUCUUUCGACAUCGAUAUAUCGCUAAUAAAGUCUAACAUAUUUAAAGAUCUCUAGCUACGUGCUAUCUUUCUGUGACACCUGACAAGCGAUUGGCGUGGAGACGAACGUGUAAAACUUAAAAAAAAACAAAAAAAAAAAAGAAAAAUAAUUAAAAAUGAUAAUAAAAUAAAAGAAUUAACAAUGUCCUUAGAAAGGAAAAAUUCAAACAGAAUAA